This 72-nucleotide transfer RNA is filed under the name Cladophialophora carrionii CBS 160.54. Its description in RNAcentral is "tRNA-Gln (CTG) (tRNA-Gln-CTG-1-1)". It matches the Rfam family "tRNA". From Rfam's summary of the family: Transfer RNA (tRNA) molecules are approximately 80 nucleotides in length. Their secondary structure includes four short double-helical elements and three loops (D, anti-codon, and T loops). Lineage: Eukaryota; Fungi; Ascomycota; Eurotiomycetes; Chaetothyriales; Herpotrichiellaceae. The record is from RNAcentral.
GGUUGUGUAGUGUAGCGGUUAGCACACGGGAUUCUGAUUCCCGUGACCCCGGUUCGAAUCCGGGCACGACCU